UCCCUCGUGGCGCAAUUGGCUAGCGCGUUCGACUGUUACCAUUGCUGGUAUCGAGAGGUUGGUGGUUCGAGCCCACCCGAGGGAG
Venturia effusa is the source of this 85-nucleotide non-coding RNA. NCBI's taxonomy places the organism in Eukaryota, Fungi, Ascomycota, Dothideomycetes, Venturiales, Venturiaceae. The record is from the annotation of a GenBank genome assembly.